Molecule: long non-coding RNA, 288 nt
Filed under: Elaeis guineensis (African oil palm)
Lineage: Eukaryota; Viridiplantae; Streptophyta; Magnoliopsida; Arecales; Arecaceae
Description: long non-coding RNA (EGUI_LNC071465)
Source: RNAcentral
GGGCACUUCAGAACUUCAAAGAGAACACCCUUGGGCAAUUCAGUCGGAGCCAGCGUAGCCAGCUUGGAGAGAAGAUCGGCCCUGGUAUUUUCCAUCCUUGAAAUCUGCCUGAUGUUGAAGCUACCGAAGGCGGGGACGAGCUCCUUUCCAUUUCGAGAUACUUAGCCAUGCUGUCCUCUCGUGCUUCAUAGUUUCCACUGACUUGUCCCACUACCAAUUGGGAGUCGCUGUGAACUUGGAGCUGAUAUACUCCCAACUCUUUGGCGAUCUUCAAUCCUGCGAUUAGAG